RNAcentral lists this ribosomal RNA (403 nucleotides) under Bacteroidota bacterium. RNAcentral's name for it is "Bacteroidetes bacterium partial 16S ribosomal RNA". It matches the Rfam family "Bacterial small subunit ribosomal RNA", at positions 355 to 776 of the family's 1533-position model. Lineage: Bacteria; Pseudomonadati; Bacteroidota. The record is from RNAcentral.
UGGGGAAUUUUGCACAAUGGGGGAAACCCUGAUGCAGCGACGCCGCGUGAACGAAGAAGGUAUUCGUAUCGUAAAGUUCUGUCCUAUGGGAAGAUAAUGACAGUACCAUAGAAGAAAGCUCCGGCUAAAUACGUGCCAGCAGCCGCGGUAAUACGUAUGGAGCGAGCGUUGUCCGGAAUUAUUGGGCGUAAAGGGUACGCAGGCGGUUUAAUAAGUCGAAUGUUAAAGAUCGGGGCUCAACCCCGUAAAGCAUUGGAAACUGAUAAACUUGAGUAGUGGAGAGGAAAGUGGAAUUCCUAGUGUAGUGGUGAAAUACGUAGAUAUUAGGAGGAAUACCAGUAGCGAAGGCGACUUUCUGGACACAAACUGACGCUGAGGUACGAAAGCGUGGGGAGCAAACAGG